This 72-nucleotide transfer RNA is filed under the name Bos taurus (domestic cattle). It matches the Rfam family "tRNA". Rfam says of the family: Transfer RNA (tRNA) molecules are approximately 80 nucleotides in length. Their secondary structure includes four short double-helical elements and three loops (D, anti-codon, and T loops). The record is from Rfam by way of RNAcentral. RNAcentral also lists the same sequence under 1 other name. Lineage: Eukaryota; Metazoa; Chordata; Mammalia; Artiodactyla; Bovidae.
UCCCUGGUGGCUCAGACAGUAAAGCGCCUGCCUGCAAUGCUGGAGACCCAGGUUCGAUCCCUGGGUUGGGAA